This is a non-coding RNA of Acanthosepion pharaonis, 94 nucleotides long. The record is from the annotation of a GenBank genome assembly. Lineage: Eukaryota; Metazoa; Mollusca; Cephalopoda; Sepiida; Sepiidae.
CACGUUGAAACAGCAGUUCCCAUACGAUCACCGAAGUUAAGUAACGUCGAUCAUGGUCAGUACCUUGAUGGGUGACCGCUUGGGGAUACUUCGA